CCUAAAGGCGUAAUGAAAGUGAAGGUUAUUAUUUAUUAAUAACUUAGGGAGGAUGAGUUAUGUAAUUUAACAUGAUUCCGCACUCCCGGGGCGUCUCAUUCACAUUAUGCGAAGAGGCGCACCCAGAGCGUACACGUUGGGACCCGAAAGAUGGUGAACUAUGCCUGGUCAGGAUGAAGUCAGGGGAAACCCUGAUGGAGGUCCGUAGCGAUUCUGACGUGCAAAUCGAUCGUCGGAACUGGGUAUAGGGGCGAAAGACUAAUCGAACCAUCUAGUAGCUGGUUCCCUCCGAAGUUUCCCUCAGGAUAGCUGGCACUCGUGAAAGUUUUUUUUCAAUUAUAAACUUAUAUGAGUCUCAUCUGGUAAAGCGAAUGAUUAGAGGCCUUGGGGCCGAAACGACCUCAACCUAUUCUCAAACUUUAAAUGGGUGAGAUCUCUGGCUUGCUUGAAUAUCAAAUAUAUAUAUAUAUAUUUUGAAGCCAUGAGAUAUCGGAUCAGAGUGCCAAGUGG
Molecule: ribosomal RNA, 510 nt
Filed under: Xiphozele sp. BJS-2011
Lineage: Eukaryota; Metazoa; Arthropoda; Insecta; Hymenoptera; Braconidae
Description: eukaryotic LSU rRNA
Rfam family: Eukaryotic large subunit ribosomal RNA
Source: RNAcentral